CCCAAAAAUACUAGUUGCUAAAGCUCACACAUGCCUUAAUUGCACCCACUGUCCUCGCUGAAUGCAGUUGAGAUUCUGUUCCUUUAUGCUUUUAAAACAAAGUACUGCUCAUCAAAGAACAAGAAAAACUGAUUCCUGAAAUAAAAUUUGAAGAUAAAGAACAUUCUGGAUUGCCUUAGGAAAUUAAGGGGAAGGAAGUAAUUCAAAAAUCUAUAGAUCUUGAUAGGUCAUAAAUCCUAAAGGAUUUCAGACAUAGGUCAAGAGAAAACCGAAGUCUGGAAGGGGAUAAUGAAGGAGACAAAUAAAUAAUAUAAAUGUAUUUAUUACCACUGAACGAUACACUUAAAAAUGGUCAAGAUGGUAAAUUAUAUAUGUAUAUUUUACCUUGUUUUUUUUUUUUUUUUUUUUUAAAAAAGAAAGCACAGAGACUAAGUUGCAGAGAGGAGGGAUGAAGAAAGAGAAGAAUCUUGACAACUCCUAGAAUCACGGCAUCUCAAAGUUGGAAGUUACAAGAGUCCAUCCAACCACCAAAAUACUUCAAGAGAGAGAUAUAUUUAAAAAACUGACACUGUAAAAGCAAACAGACAAGUGGGAUAGAAUACUGAAAAGUCAAGAAAAUGGAAAGCCUUUCUGAAAUUGAAUCACCUUCUAACAGCUAUUUCUAAUAAAAAAUGUAUUAGAAAGAAAGGGGAAAAAAAGGCUUGGAUCCCGAAAGACAGUUUGAAUCAUAACAGUGCGAGUGCGAGACAGAAGACAAUCACUUUCUACUCUCUGCUGGUCUCUAAAGGAAUUCCAGUUAGUUAUCCAAGAAUGGAAGAACACCGUGAGUCAGCCGUUCUCCUUUCCUCUUUAAAACAAAAACAAAAUUCAUCUUGGUCAUGUUAUCAGUUGUCUGUAUGUAGAGGGAAAAAAAAGGCCAUUUCCAGGUCAUUACCUAAAAUCAACUCUUCCAUUUAGUGGGGCCAUCUGGUAGCUGAUAUGAUUAAUUAUAAAAUUUCCAUCUCAUUCAAUUUAUUUUAGCUCUUUCUAUAAGUUACUUAACAUAGAAAUAAGAAAAUCAUAGCCAAACUAUAAAUUGAAGCUUGAUUGGUGUAAUUGGUAUGUAUCCCCCACCCUACAACAAAAAAAAUUCAAAGGGGACAGGGGAGAGAAAGGAAUGAUAGAUGAAGUUAAAGCAUCUGAAAUUCUAUUCUCUUUCUUGUUUAUACCACAGAGCAGCUCUCUUUAAAACAAAUCCUUCUGUAAUUUCAAAAGGCUUCAGCAAGUCUUCCAACUAGACUGGGUCAAUCAAAAUAAAAGGUUUAACACUCAUCUUGACUGUGUUUUUUUUUUUAAAUCAUGAAAUCAC
Molecule: long non-coding RNA, 1348 nt
Filed under: Homo sapiens (human)
Lineage: Eukaryota; Metazoa; Chordata; Mammalia; Primates; Hominidae
Description: HSALNT0038786
Source: RNAcentral